Molecule: long non-coding RNA, 522 nt
Organism: Xiphophorus maculatus (southern platyfish)
Lineage: Eukaryota; Metazoa; Chordata; Actinopteri; Cyprinodontiformes; Poeciliidae
Exons: 3
Source: RefSeq, a predicted model, not a curated record
UGUGGCCUACCCUGGAGAGACACAUCUCACUUUCAUUGCCUGAACUGUUUUUCAGCCAUUGACAGAAGGGACAGGUUUGUUAAUCAUUUGGUUAACCAGGCAAUGACUUUCAAUAUGGUGUCCAGCUGUGCAUCAGCCCAGCCACCUGUCCAGCCAGCAGCUACCAACAGGAAACAGGAAACAGUCAUGUAGUCAACACCUGGUUUCCACCUCUUUCCCUUGACCCAGCACUACACCUACCAGUACAUAUUUUUGCUUUGGAUGUCAGAUUCACCACAAUAUAUUAAUUUUGUGAUUUAAUUGGAAGCUGCAGGCACAAGAUCUGGACUGGGUUCUGAUUCCUGUAUGGCGUCCUGGACAUUGGACACUAUGCAGAAGUCUGUCUUCAGAUGUCAUCUGGACCAUGGACAGAAUUUGUUGGCAAUGAUGUUAAGGGAUUGCCUAAACAAGGACUGUCCAACAACUGUUGUCAAGAAAAUCCGAGCUCAUCCCACUUCCCCAUGCUGGAGAUUUUAGUUUAAC